GAGAUCGUAGCUCAGUCGGUAGAGCAACUGACUUUUAAUCCGUAGGUCAUGGGUUCAAGUCCCAUCGAUCUCA
This 73-nucleotide transfer RNA is filed under the name Planctomycetia bacterium. Its description in RNAcentral is "tRNA-Lys". It matches the Rfam family "tRNA". Rfam says of the family: Transfer RNA (tRNA) molecules are approximately 80 nucleotides in length. Their secondary structure includes four short double-helical elements and three loops (D, anti-codon, and T loops). Further hydrogen bonds mediate the characteristic L-shaped molecular structure. tRNAs have two regions of fundamental functional importance: the anti-codon, which is responsible for specific mRNA codon recognition, and the 3' end, to which the tRNAs corresponding amino acid is attached (by aminoacyl-tRNA synthetases). tRNAs cope with the degeneracy of the genetic code in two manners: having more than one tRNA (with a specific anti-codon) for a particular amino acid; and 'wobble' base-pairing, i.e. permitting non-standard base-pairing at the 3rd anti-codon position. Lineage: Bacteria; Pseudomonadati; Planctomycetota; Planctomycetia. The record is from RNAcentral.